This 255-nucleotide ribosomal RNA is filed under the name uncultured bacterium. RNAcentral describes it as "partial 16S ribosomal RNA". It matches the Rfam family "Bacterial small subunit ribosomal RNA", at positions 524 to 776 of the family's 1533-position model. The record is from RNAcentral.
UACGUAGGGGGCAAGCGUUGUCCGGAUUUAUUGGGCGUAAAGAGCGUGUAGGCGGUUAGGUAGGUCCGUUGUGAAAACUCGAGGCUCAACCUCGAGACGCCGAUGGAAACCAUCUGACUAGAGUCCGGAAGAGGAGAGUGGAAUUCCGUGGUGUGAGCGGUGAAAUGCGCAGAUAUCAGGAAGAACACCCGUGGCGAAGGCGGUUCUCUGGGACGGUACUGACGCUGAGACGCGAAAGCGUGGGGAGCGAACAGG